Morone saxatilis (striped sea-bass) is the source of this 80-nucleotide small nucleolar RNA. The record is from RefSeq and is a predicted model, not a curated record. NCBI's taxonomy places the organism in Eukaryota, Metazoa, Chordata, Actinopteri, Moronidae.
GUUGUCAGUGAUGUCUUACCUCUAUUGUUCGAGUUUCAAUGACCAUGAUAACACUUACAUGCACUACCAUCUGAGACAUG